CCUACGGGUGGCAGCAGUGAGGAAUAUUGGUCAAUGGACGAGAGUCUGAACCAGCCAAGUAGCGUGAAGGAGGACUGCACUAUGGGUUGUAAACUUCUUUUAUAAAGGAAUAAAACGAGGCACGUGUGCCUGGUUGCAUGUACUUGAUGAAUAAGGAUCGGCUAACUCCGUGCCAGCAGCCGCGGUAAUACGGAGGAUCCGAGCGUUAUCCGGAUUUAUUGGGUUUAAAGGGAGCGUAGAUGGGUUGUUAAGUCAGUUGUGAAAGUUUGCGGCUCAACCGUAAAAUGGCAAUUGAUACUGGCAGUCUUGAGUACAGUUGAGGUAGGCGGAAUUCGUGGUGUAGCGGUGACAUGCUUCGAUAUCACGCAGAACCCCGAUUGCGAAGGCAGCUUACUAACCUGUCCCUGACAUUGAUGCUC
RNAcentral lists this ribosomal RNA (419 nucleotides) under uncultured bacterium. Its description in RNAcentral is "partial 16S ribosomal RNA". It matches the Rfam family "Bacterial small subunit ribosomal RNA", at positions 338 to 754 of the family's 1533-position model. The record is from RNAcentral.